AGUGCGAGAACAAUCAUGCAUUCAGACUUGUAGAUCCAUGAGAUCCUCAUAGACUUCUAAGGGCAGGUCAGCCUACAGUUCCUCACUUUCUUCCUCAUUUGGCAGGAGCCAUGGAAAGAGUGAGGUCCAUAUGCUCAGUAAGAAAAACUGUAUUAAAUUAACAUCGUAAGACUUCAAAAGAUAAUUAUUUUGACUUAAGAGCUUAUCAUUUAACCUCCUCAUGUACCAAUCUCACAUUAUGAAAAACUAUUUAUUUGUUAGAAAAUGGCAUGUUAAUGCAGACAACUAAACAUACAUCUUGCCAGUUAAUAAAGGAAAUCAAAUAAAUCAUGAAAUGCUAAGAUUUUCAUGUUAUGCUUCGCGAAGUAGUUACAACUUCUUUCUCUGAGGGCAGAUACAGAUUUCCAACUAGCUAAGUGGAAUGACCAGAUUAGAUACAGAUACAAAAAUUUGCUCAAGCCUAUUUCUGGCUGGCCAAACUAUGGUAUGAUCUAUGACUACGGUCGUACCAGCCAUAGUGGCCCUAAUAGAUAUCUAUAGUCACAACAUUACUUAACCACGAGUGACCUCUAUAGAUAGUGCAAUACCACUCUCAUCAGAGGGUACAUCGUCAUCCAGUAGGAAUGGUACUUUUAUAUCUUUCCAGACCAGAUAGGAGAAGGGGAAACAGAUACCCAUUAGAGAUAAAAAGGCUAACAAGACACUUGAUGCAAUAUGCAUGUCAAUACGGAUAUAUUUCGGACCAUACAAUCUUCAUUCCACAUUUCUCUUUUUCUUUUCUUUUAUACCUUUUUACUUCUAUCGAUUACAUAUUAUAUUUAUUACAUGCAAAUUCAUCAAGUAUCUGCAACUCACAUAACAUGCUUGAAAAUAAGAACAAUUCAACU
RNAcentral lists this long non-coding RNA (887 nucleotides) under Carica papaya (papaya). RNAcentral describes it as "long non-coding RNA (CPAP_LNC009041)". Lineage: Eukaryota; Viridiplantae; Streptophyta; Magnoliopsida; Brassicales; Caricaceae. The record is from RNAcentral.